GACGAACGCUGGCGGCGCGCCUAACACAUGCAAGUCGAACGGUGAAGAGGAGCUUGCUCCUCGGAACAGUGGCGGACGGGUGAGUAACACGUGAGCAACCUGGCUCUAAGAGGGGGACAACAGUUGGAAACGACUGCUAAUACCGCAUGACGUAUCGGGAUGGCAUCUUCCUGAUACCAAAGAUUUUAUCGCUUAGAGAUGGGCUCGCGUCUGAUUAGAUAGUUGGCGGGGUAACGGCCCACCAAGUCGACGAUCAGUAGCCGGACUGAGAGGUUGAACGGCCACAUUGGGACUGAGACACGGCCCAGACUCCUACGGGAGGCAGCAGUGGGGGAUAUUGGACAAUGGGGGCAACCCUGAUCCAGCGACGCCGCGUGAGGGAAGAAGGUUUUCGGAUUGUAAACCUCUGUUGACGGAGAAAAAAAUGAUGGUAUCCGUUUAGAAAGCCACGGCUAACUACGUG
RNAcentral lists this ribosomal RNA (463 nucleotides) under uncultured bacterium. Its description in RNAcentral is "partial 16S ribosomal RNA". It matches the Rfam family "Bacterial small subunit ribosomal RNA", at positions 28 to 507 of the family's 1533-position model. The record is from RNAcentral.